CCCUGGGUGGUAUAAAUAGUUAAUGCACUCAGCUGCUAGCUGAAAGGUGGAGGUUCAAGUCCACCCAGAGGGG
This 73-nucleotide transfer RNA is filed under the name Loxodonta africana (African savanna elephant). It matches the Rfam family "tRNA". From Rfam's summary of the family: Transfer RNA (tRNA) molecules are approximately 80 nucleotides in length. Lineage: Eukaryota; Metazoa; Chordata; Mammalia; Proboscidea; Elephantidae. The record is from Rfam by way of RNAcentral.